GACGAACGCUGGCGGCGUGCUUAACACAUGCAAGUCGAACGAAGAGCGAUGGAAGCUUGCUUCUAUCAAUCUUAGUGGCGAACGGGUGAGUAACGCGUAAUCAACCUGCCCUUCAGAGGGGGACAACAGUUGGAAACGACUGCUAAUACCACAUACGAUCUAACCUCGGCAUCGAGGAUAGAUGAAAGGUGGCCUCUACAUGUAAGCUAUCACUGAAGGAGGGGAUUGCGUCUGAUUAGCUAGUUGGAGGGGUAACGGCCCACCAAGGCGAUGAUCAGUAGCCGGUCUGAGAGGAUGAACGGCCACAUUGGGACUGAGACACGGCCCAGACUCCUACGGGAGGCAGCAGUGGGGAAUCUUCCGCAAUGGACGAAAGUCUGACGGAGCAACGCCGCGUGAGUGAUGACGGCCUUCGGGUUGUAAAGCUCUGUUAAUCGGGACGAAAGGCCUUCUUGCGAAUAGUUAGAAGGAUUGACGGUACCGGAAGAGAAAGCCACGGCUAACUACGUG
Molecule: ribosomal RNA, 510 nt
Filed under: uncultured bacterium
Lineage: Bacteria
Description: partial 16S ribosomal RNA
Rfam family: Bacterial small subunit ribosomal RNA
Source: RNAcentral